GUUGAACGCUGGCGGCAGGCUUAACACAUGCAAGUCGAGCGGAGCGAGGGUGCUUGCACCUUAGCUUAGCGGCGGACGGGUGAGUAAUGCCUAGGAAUCUGCCUAUUAGUGGGGGACAACAUUCCGAAAGGAAUGCUAAUACCGCAUACGCCCUACGGGGGAAAGCAGGGGAUCUUCGGACCUUGCGCUAAUAGAUGAGCCUAAGUCGGAUUAGCUAGUUGGUGGGGUAAAGGCCUACCAAGGCGACGAUCUGUAGCGGGUCUGAGAGGAUGAUCCGCCACACUGGGACUGAGACACGGCCCAGACUCCUACGGGAGGCAGCAGUGGGGAAUAUUGGACAAUGGGCGGAAGCCUGAUCCAGCCAUGCCGCGUGUGUGAAGAAGGCCUUUUGGUUGUAAAGCACUUUAAGCGAGGAGGAGGCUACUUAGAUUAAUACUCUGGGAUAGUGGACGUUACUCGCAGAAUAAGCACCGGCUAACUCUGUGCCAGCAGCCGCCGUAA
RNAcentral lists this ribosomal RNA (501 nucleotides) under uncultured bacterium. Its description in RNAcentral is "partial 16S ribosomal RNA". It matches the Rfam family "Bacterial small subunit ribosomal RNA", at positions 28 to 523 of the family's 1533-position model. The record is from RNAcentral.